UCGACCGCUGACUACAACCUUGUUGCGCCGAUCCGUCAGACUGCCUCGAUUUUCAAGCAACCAGUCACACUCUACAAGGAUCAUAAAUCUAAGGUUAAAUCUGACUUGAAGACGGUUAAUAAGGAGAAGCCAAGCCAAUUGUUUUGGGC
Molecule: long non-coding RNA, 149 nt
Organism: Eurytemora carolleeae
Lineage: Eukaryota; Metazoa; Arthropoda; Copepoda; Calanoida; Temoridae
Exons: 2
Source: RefSeq, a predicted model, not a curated record